RNAcentral lists this ribosomal RNA (1374 nucleotides) under uncultured organism. RNAcentral describes it as "16S ribosomal RNA". It matches the Rfam family "Bacterial small subunit ribosomal RNA", at positions 94 to 1434 of the family's 1533-position model. The record is from RNAcentral.
AGUGGCGCACGGGUGAGUAACGCGUGGGUAAUCUGCCUCCGAAUCGGGGAUAACAUUGCGAAAGCGAUGCUAAUACCGGAUAAAAUCUGGUUGGCUUCGGUGAACCGGAUCAAAGGUGGUCUCUUUUAAAAAGCUACCGUUUGGAGAUGAGCUCGCGUACCAUUAGCUUGUUGGUGGGGUAAAGGCUCACCAAGGCGACGAUGGUUAGCUGGUCUGAGAGGAUGAUCAGCCACACCGAAACUGGAACACGGUCCGGACUCCUACGGGAGGCAGCAGUGAGGAAUUUUGCGCAAUGGGGGAAACCCUGACGCAGCAACGCCGCGUGAGUGAUGAAGGCUUUCGGGUCGUAAAGCUCCGUCAGGUGGGAAGAACCCACCAGGUGUAAACAUCACCUGGUGCUGACGGUACCACCGAAGGAAGCACCGGCUAACUCCGUGCCAGCAGCCGCGGUAAUACGGGGGGUGCGAGCGUUAUUCGGAAUCAUUGGGCGUAAAGGGCGCGCAGGCGGAUAUGUAAGUCAGAUGUGAAAUCCCGGGGCUUAACCCCGGAAGUGCAUAUGAAACUAUGAGACUUGAGUAUGGGAGAGGGGAAGCGGAAUUCCUGGUGUAGCGGUGAAAUGCGUAGAUAUCAGGAGGAACACCGGUGGCGAAGGCGGCUUCCUUGGACCAAUACUGACGCUGAGGCGCGAAGGCCUGGGGAAGCGGACAGGAUUAGAUACCCUGGUAGUCCACGCAGUAAACGUUGAAUCACUAGGUGUUAACGGGUAUUGACCCCUGCUGUUGCCGGAGUUAACGCAUUAAGUGAUCCGCCUGGGGAGUACGAUCGCAAGAUUAAAACUCAAAGGAAUUGACGGGUGCCCGCACAAGCGGUGGAGCAUGUGGUUUAAUUCGACGCAACGCGAAGAACCUUACCUGGACUUGACAUCUCGGGAAUUCCGUUGAAAGACGGGAGUGCCUUUUAACGAGGAAUCCGAUGACAGGUGCUGCAUGGCUGUCGUCAGCUCGUGUCGUGAGAUGUUGGGUUAAGUCCCGCAACGAGCGCAACCCCUAUCUUCAGUUGCCAUCAGGUGAUGCUGGGGACUUUGGAGAUACUGCCCCGGUUAACGGGGAGGAAGGUGGGGAUGACGUCAAGUCCUCAUGGCCUUUAUGUCCAGGGCUACACACGUGCUACAAUGGUAUGUACAAAGGGAAGCGAUCCCGCGAGGAGGAGCUAAUCCCAAAAAGCAUAUCAAAGUUCGGAUCGGAGUCUGCAACUCGACUCCGUGAAGUUGGAAUCGCUAGUAAUCGCGGAUCAGCAUGCCGCGGUGAUACGUUCCCGGGCCUGUACACACCGCCCGUCACACCAUGAGAGUUGGCUGUACCAGAAGUCGUUGGG